AUUGAACGCUGGCGGCAGGCCUAACACAUGCAAGUCGAGCGGAUGAAGGGAGCUUGCUCCUGGAUUCAGCGGCGGACGGGUGAGUAAUGCCUAGGAAUCUGCCUGGUAGUGGGGGAUAACGUCCGGAAACGGGCGCUAAUACCGCAUACGUCCUGAGGGAGAAAGUGGGGGAUCUUCGGACCUCACGCUAUCAGAUGAGCCUAGGUCGGAUUAGCUAGUUGGUGGGGUAAAGGCCUACCAAGGCGACGAUCCGUAGCUGGUCUGAGAGGAUGAUCAGUCACACUGGAACUGAGACACGGUCCAGACUCCUACGGGAGGCAGCAGUGGGGAAUAUUGGACAAAGGGCGAAAGCCUGAUCCAGCCAUGUCGCGUGUGUGAAGAAGGUCUUCGGAUUGUAAAGCACUUUAAGUUGGGAGGAAGGGCAGUAAGUUAAUACCUUGCUGUUUUGACGUUACCAACAGAAUAAGCACCGGCUAACUUCGUG
This 484-nucleotide ribosomal RNA is filed under the name uncultured bacterium. Its description in RNAcentral is "partial 16S ribosomal RNA". It matches the Rfam family "Bacterial small subunit ribosomal RNA", at positions 30 to 507 of the family's 1533-position model. The record is from RNAcentral.